UACGGGGGGAGCAAGCGUUGUUCGGAUUUACUGGGCGUAAAGGGCGCGUAGGCGGCCAGCACAAGUCAGUUGUGAAAUCUCCGAGCUUAACUCGGAAAGGUCAACUGAUACUGUGCGGCUAGAGUGCAGAAGGGGCAACUGGAAUUCUUGGUGUAGCGGUGAAAUGCGUAGAUAUCAAGAGGGACACCUGCGGCGAAGGCGGGUUGCUGGGCUGACACUGACGCUGAGGCGCGAAAGCUAGGGGAGCGAACGGG
Molecule: ribosomal RNA, 254 nt
Filed under: uncultured bacterium
Lineage: Bacteria
Description: partial 16S ribosomal RNA
Rfam family: Bacterial small subunit ribosomal RNA
Source: RNAcentral